Octopus sinensis (East Asian common octopus) is the source of this 265-nucleotide long non-coding RNA. RefSeq lists it as uncharacterized. Lineage: Eukaryota; Metazoa; Mollusca; Cephalopoda; Octopoda; Octopodidae. The record is from RefSeq and is a predicted model, not a curated record. The transcript is spliced from 3 exons.
GAUUGGGACUUUUCAGAUUCUGCUUUUUCUGAGGGUACAGGGGAUUUCGCAGGUUCUGAUGUGACAGGUGAUUUUGCCUUUUCAGAUUCUGCUUUUUCUGAGGGCACAGGGGAUUUUGCAGGUUCUGAUGUCACAGGAGAUUUUGACUUUUCAGAUUCUGCUUUUUCUGAGGGCACAGGGGAUUUCGCAGGUUCUGAUGUCACAGGAGAUUUUGACUUUUCAGAUUCUGCUUUUUCUGAGGGUACUGGGGUUGUUGCAGGUUCUG